This 441-nucleotide ribosomal RNA is filed under the name uncultured bacterium. RNAcentral describes it as "bacterial SSU rRNA". It matches the Rfam family "Bacterial small subunit ribosomal RNA", at positions 199 to 631 of the family's 1533-position model. The record is from RNAcentral.
GGGGAUCGCAAGACCUUGCGCUAAAGGAGCGGCCGAUGUCUGAUUAGCUAGUUGGUGGGGUAAAGGCUUACCAAGGCAACGAUCAGUAGUUGGUCUGAGAGGACGACCAACCACACUGGGACUGAGACACGGCCCAGACUCCUACGGGAGGCAGCAGUGGGGAAUUUUGGACAAUGGGCGAAAGCCUGAUCCAGCCAUGCCGCGUGAGUGAAGAAGGCCUUCGGGUUGUAAAGCUCUUUUAGUCAGAAAGAAAGAAUCAUGAUGAAUAAUUAUGAUUUAUGACGGUACUGACAGAAAAAGCACCGGCUAACUACGUGCCAGCAGCCGCGGUAAUACGUAGGGUGCGAGCGUUAAUCGGAAUUACUGGGCGUAAAGGGUGCGCAGGCGGUUUUGUAAGUCAGAUGUGAGAGCCCCGGGCUUAACCUGGGAAUUGCGUUUGAA